Long non-coding RNA from Cydia amplana, 233 nucleotides. RefSeq lists it as uncharacterized. NCBI's taxonomy places the organism in Eukaryota, Metazoa, Arthropoda, Insecta, Lepidoptera, Tortricidae. The record is from RefSeq and is a predicted model, not a curated record. The transcript is spliced from 2 exons.
GUCCAGCAGCUAAAGGACAUCUGGUGUCGCGCCAGUAAGACCUUCAACAGUCAAUACUCGCGGUUCCGGGCUGAGGAUUCAGAUGAGGAUGGGGGCAGUAGGGAGCGAGAAAACCCCGUCAGGAGGAGCCAGCGCCGUAAGGCCAUCGACCACUUGGUGGAUCUGGGACGAAAAGCUUCUAUCUAUCUCAAGGAAAUGUUCGACAGCCUUUGAAUCUGAAUAAACUUUAAGAU